UACGGGGGGAGCAAGCGUUGUUCGGAUUUACUGGGCGUAAAGGGCGCGUAGGCGGCCACCGCAAGUCAAUUGUGAAAUCUCCGGGCUUAACUCGGAAAGGUCAACUGAUACUGCGGGGCUAGAGUGCGGAAGGGGCAACUGGAAUUCUCGGUGUAGCGGUGAAAUGCGUAGAUAUCGAGAGGAACACCGGUGGCGAAGGCGACGUCCUGGACCGGCAUUGACGCUGAGGCGCGAAAGCCAGGGGAGCAAACGGG
RNAcentral lists this ribosomal RNA (254 nucleotides) under uncultured bacterium. RNAcentral describes it as "partial 16S ribosomal RNA". It matches the Rfam family "Bacterial small subunit ribosomal RNA", at positions 524 to 776 of the family's 1533-position model. The record is from RNAcentral.